GAGACAGAAAAUAAACGUUAUAUGGUGUGGUCUUCGGUGACCGCACGCAAAAUAUCGCGGGCGCUCUUUCCCACGAAAAGCACAUGUUUUGUUAUGGAGUUAUACUGUCGUUUCGUUAGGACAAGUUUUCCUUUCUAUUUAGAAGGCACAAUAACUUCGAAUCUUUCUCUUUCACGUGCAAUUUGUGAAUGGAAUGAAUACAAGUUAUGUGCAGAUUAGAAACGAACUAGCAAGUGAACAACUGAUUAAAGUACAGUUUCAAGUA
RNAcentral lists this long non-coding RNA (265 nucleotides) under Pocillopora damicornis (cauliflower coral). RNAcentral's name for it is "uncharacterized LOC113671028". Lineage: Eukaryota; Metazoa; Cnidaria; Anthozoa; Scleractinia; Pocilloporidae. The record is from RNAcentral.